AGGAAUCCUCUGGUGCCUGUUGGUAAACGAAAUUCCAUUUUCACCCUUACAAUUUUUUUGGGUUAAAUUUAUUUUUUAUAUUCUAUUGCCUCUAUAUUGAGUAUGGAUCAUUUUGUGUGCUUUUGUGAUGCUUAUGUUUGAAUUUUGUUGAUAUGGACUGUGUUGGUGAAGAAUUUUGAUCAAUUUUAGGGGUUUUGUUAUGUGGAUCAUAUUUAUCUAGGAACUUUUCCGGUAAACAGAAUGGUUCAUUGGCGUUUAUUGGUGGUCAAUUGGAAAAAUUUUGAGGAUUAUGCGGUUCCUUUUAACCUUCUUGCGCAUUUUAUGAAGAUUUUUAGUGAUAGAUAUGCAAAUGCGUUUCUAGUGGUCACUGAAAAUGGUUCUUUUUCUUUGUUUGAGGAAAUUCGUACAUGUUAGAGGUAAUUCUAUUGAUAUCUGAUAAUAUUCUAGUUGAGUUGUAAGAAGUUACAUUUUGAAAAUGAUUAAUGAAUUAACUCCAUUAUGAAUUGCUAGAGAAAUGGAUCAGCAUGGAAUUUCAGUCUAAUAUUUUUCAUUGAUCAAACAGGAUUCAGGACUCAUUGUUUCCCUUGUAGUUGAACCACAUUGGGAGUUGUUUCCUUUUUUUGGGUGAAGC
Molecule: unclassified non-coding RNA, 631 nt
Filed under: Hevea brasiliensis (rubber tree)
Lineage: Eukaryota; Viridiplantae; Streptophyta; Magnoliopsida; Malpighiales; Euphorbiaceae
Source: RNAcentral